CUUCCCGUUUGACUGCCACGUCCUCUCCGUAUGGGUUUCGUGGCUAUGCUUACGGGACAGACUAAAGCAGCCGUGAUCUGAGGAGGGAGGGUUGGCCCGUGUCCUCCCUCUGUAUGAAAUGGCUGGACAGUGCAGG
Small nucleolar RNA from Artibeus jamaicensis (Jamaican fruit-eating bat), 136 nucleotides. RefSeq annotates it as small nucleolar RNA SNORA29. NCBI's taxonomy places the organism in Eukaryota, Metazoa, Chordata, Mammalia, Chiroptera, Phyllostomidae. The record is from RefSeq and is a predicted model, not a curated record. The transcript has a single exon.